AACGUAGGUCACAAGCGUUGUCCGGAAUUACUGGGUGUAAAGGGAGCGCAGGCGGGAGAACAAGUUGGAAGUGAAAUCCAUGGGCUCAACCCAUGAACUGCUUUCGAAACUGUUUUUCUUGAGUAGUGCAGAGGUAGGCGGAAUUCCCGGUGUAGCGGUGGAAUGCGUAGAUAUCGGGAGGAACACCAGUGGCGAAGGCGGCCUACUGGGCACCAACUGACGCUGAGGCUCGAAAGUGUGGGUAGCAAACAGG
This 253-nucleotide ribosomal RNA is filed under the name Faecalibacterium prausnitzii. RNAcentral's name for it is "partial 16S ribosomal RNA". It matches the Rfam family "Bacterial small subunit ribosomal RNA", at positions 524 to 776 of the family's 1533-position model. The record is from RNAcentral. Lineage: Bacteria; Bacillati; Bacillota; Clostridia; Eubacteriales; Oscillospiraceae.